UCUUGUUUUUCUUUCUCCUCUUGCUAUCUUCCCUUGUGAUUGAUGACUUUUUUUAGUGUUAUGCUUGGAUUCCUUUCUCUUUAUUUUUUCUCUAUUUAUAGGUUUUUGGUAAACA
Molecule: long non-coding RNA, 115 nt
Organism: Mustela erminea (ermine)
Lineage: Eukaryota; Metazoa; Chordata; Mammalia; Carnivora; Mustelidae
Exons: 3
Source: RefSeq, a predicted model, not a curated record